AUACCUACGGGAGGCAGCAGUAGGGAAUUUUCGUCAAUGGGCGCAAGCCUGAACGAGCGAUGCCGCGUGAGUGAAGAAGGCCUUCGGGUCGUAAAGCUCUGUUGCGGGGGAAAAAAGGCAGAAUCAGGAAAUGGGAGAUGACUGAUGGUGCCCCGCCAGAAAGUCACGGCUAACUACGUGCCAGCAGCCGCGGUAAUACGUAGGUGGCGAGCGUUAUCCGGCAUGCUUGGGCGUAA
Molecule: ribosomal RNA, 236 nt
Filed under: uncultured bacterium
Lineage: Bacteria
Description: partial 16S ribosomal RNA
Rfam family: Bacterial small subunit ribosomal RNA
Source: RNAcentral